Molecule: ribosomal RNA, 253 nt
Filed under: uncultured bacterium
Lineage: Bacteria
Description: partial 16S ribosomal RNA
Rfam family: Bacterial small subunit ribosomal RNA
Source: RNAcentral
UACGGAGGGUGCGAGCGUUGUCCGGAAUCAUUGGGCGUAAAGGGCGCGUAGGUGGCCCGGUCAGUCUUUGGUGAAAGCGCGGGGCUCAACCCUGCGUCGGCCGUCGAUACUGCUUUGCUUGAGCACUGUAGAGGCUAAUGGAAUUCCGGGUGUAGCGGUGGAAUGCGUAGAGAUCCGGAAGAACACCGGUGGCGAAGGCGGUUAGCUGGGCAGUUGCUGACACUGAGGCGCGACAGCGUGGGGAGCAAACAGG